Molecule: long non-coding RNA, 7241 nt
Filed under: Lactuca sativa (garden lettuce)
Lineage: Eukaryota; Viridiplantae; Streptophyta; Magnoliopsida; Asterales; Asteraceae
Description: long non-coding RNA (LSAT_LNC003399)
Source: RNAcentral
CUUUCUUAUGAAAUCGCCCACUACUAAGUCUCACACAACUAGUGCCACUAGUGGCUAUUUCAUGCAACAUAAGCAUGCUUAUAUAGUGUACAUGAUUAGGGUGAAACCCUAAUAACCCAUGACCUUUCCUUUUCCAAGGAUCCAUGGGUUAAAAGCUCCAUGGAUCAUCCAUGGACUUCCAUACAAGCCUAGCCCAUUAACAAAUAAGUGUUAGCCCACACNAUGUGUAUAACUCUCAUAAAAUUAUCCAUAAUAGUUUGGAUGAGAUGCAACCCAAAUGGACCAUGCCGGUCGGGUCAAGUAUAUACCAAAUAAGUUAUGGACUUAGACACCUUAUCCAACAGACUCCCACUUGGAUAAGUCUAAUAACUAUAUUUGCCUAUAACUUCAGGAACCAACCAACAAUCGUAGCUCUCGAAAACUCCCUCGAACAAUGAAGACUCUGUCGAACUAUGAAGCGCCAUUUUAGAUAAGUGAUCACAUAAUCCUCUGUUCUCAUGAUAUCAGCCGGACAAACACAUGGAACUAUGUCUUGCUUAUUGUCUAGCAGUUGUUUCUCGAUUAUCCGAUUUGUUUGACGAAGAACUUCACUGAACACAUCGGUUUAGUUCUGACCAGGCCUGGUAUAUGGGUCAACACAAAAUCAUCGAGGGGCCCGGAUAUCGCUUCUAUUUCUAGAAGGAACAGAUAAACUUCGACUGAUAUGCUUGUUCUACUACUUAUUGAAUUGUACACAAAGGCACGUUUUAUAACAUCAAGUUACUGAUGCGUUUACGUGCAAUCAAUGCACAACCAACUCAUAGGUAACAACUCAUAUCUCUAGGUUUAAAGAUUUAUAUGAUGUUAUCGUCUCACGAUCACUCGAGAUAAAUUCCAUGAAGUGAUACAAGUGAGCGUGGGUUUAUACCAAUACUCAUAACUUAUGAGUACUCAUGAAUGUUGCAGCAACCAUUGCCAUGCCUAAACACCUUUAAGGCAUCUACAAACCCAAUUCAUGACAAUCUUGAUUCAUACCUACUUCCGACGUAUGAUCGAUUGUGGAGGUUUGAACAAAUUAAUUAUUCUGGAAGUCAAAACAUGCAAAACUGAAACAAUAGUAAAUAAUUGACAAUGAUAGUAACACUUUACUCAUAAAUAAAUCACAAAUUUUAUUCAUCAUCAAACGUCGAUUACAUUUUACAAGUUUCAGGAAAACUAUCUAAUCUGUAAAACUAAUAUCGUCCCUCAGCCCGAUGCGUCUCGCAUGCUGAAAAUGCUUAACCCUCGUCAGUCCCUUCGUAAGGGGAUCUGCAGGAUUCUCAUCUGACGAUAUCCUCCUUGUCACAAGGAGUCCUUCUUCAAUCUUGUGCCUUAUGAAGUGAUAUUUUCUGUCAAUGUGUCGGGAUCUGCCAUGAUCUCUUGGUUCCUUGGCUAAGAUAACCGCAGCAUUGUUGUCACAGAAAAUCUCUAUAGGUUCCUUAAUAGCUGGUACAACUCCAAGGUCUCCGAUGAAGUUCUUUAGCCAUAUCGCCUCCUUCGCUGCUUCACUCGCUGCUAUAUACUCUGAUUCACAAGUCGAAUCAGCCACCGUCUCCUGCUUGGAACUCUUCCAAGAAAUUGCCCCUCCAUUUAAGGUAAAGAUCCAGCCCGACUGAGAGCGGAAAUUAUCCCUAUCAGUCUGAAAACCAGCAUCACUAUACCCUAAUAUUCUCAAGUCAUCACUGCCACCAAGGGUAAGGACCCAAUCCUUAGUCCUCCGCAGGUACUUGAGAAUGUUCUUUACCGCGGUCCAAUGAGCCUUGCCAGGGUUCCCCUGAUACCUGCUGACCAUGCUCAAAGCAAAUGCCACAUCAGGACGGGUACAAGUCAUAGCAUACAUGAUCGAGCCAACUGCGGAAGCAUAUGGUAAUUGGCUCAUCUCAGCUAUCUCAGCCUCUGUACUCGGACUCUGAGUCUUACUCAGUUUGGUAUUGCUUUGGAUCGGUAAAUCUCCUUUCUUGGAAUUCUCCAUGUUGAACCUUUUCAACACCUUAUCCAAGUAGAUACUCUGACUAAGUCCAAUUAGUCUUCUACUCCUUUCUCUUAAUAUCCUUAUCCCUAGGAUAUAGGUAGCCUCCCCUAGGUCCUUCAUAGCAAAGCACUUCCCAAGCCAGGACUUAACCUCCUGCAAGGUUGGGAUGUCAUUUCCUAUGAGUAGUAUGUCAUCCACAUACAGUACCAAGAAGCUAACUAUACUCCCACUAGCUCUGACAUACACGCAAGACUCAUCUUCGCUUCUCAAGAAGCCAAACUCUUUUACCUUCUCAUCAAAACAAAGAUUCCAGCUACGAGAUGCUUGUUUUAAUCCAUAAAUGGAUUUCUUAAGCUUGCAUACUCUAUUAGGGUACUCUGCAUUGACAAAACCCUCUGGCUGAUUCAUGUACACAUCCUCAGCCAACUUUCCAUUAAGGAAAGCGGUUUUGACAUCCAUUUGCCAUAUUUCAUAAUCAUGAAAUGCUGCAAUGGCUAACAUAACCCUAAUAGACUUAAUCUUGGCCACCGGCGAGAAGGUUUCAUCAUAAUCAAUACCUUGAGUUUGAGUAAAACCCUUCGCAACCAGUCGAGCCUUAUAAGUAUGCACUUUUCCUUCCAUGUCGGUCUUCUUUUUGAAGAUCCAUUUGCACCCGACUGUUUUACGGCCUGGUACAUUGUCAACCAAGUUCCAAACUUGAUUGUCAUACAUGGACUGUAUCUCGCUGUCCAUAGCCUCCUUCCAUUUAGCAGACUCCGGGCCUGCCAUGGCUUCCUUAACACUGCUAGGUUCAUCCAAAUUUACUAGUGUACUAUCACUAAUAAACGUAUCACCUUCCGUAGUAAUAUGAAAACCAUAAUAAAACGAAGGUGUGUUCCUAACCCGUGUGGAACGUCUCGGAGGUACAGACUCGUCAGCUGGAUCAACAGGAGUUUCUUCCUCAGGUUGAUUGCUAGUGUCUGAGGUUCCUUCACCAAUUGAUUCUUGAAUUUCUUCAAGAUCAAUCUGCCUCCCACUGUCUCCUUGGCUUAUAAAUUCUUUCUCGCGAAAGAUCCCUCUUCGUGCUACAAAGACCACAUUCUCACUGGGUCUGUAGAAAAGGUAACCGAAGGAUUUCUGUGGGUAGCCGAUGAAAAUACACCUUUCACUUCGGGGUUCAAGCUUAUCAUGAGUUUCACGCCUCACGAAGGCUUCGCAACCCCAAAUUUUGAUGUGGUCCAAAUUGGGAACCUUCCCAGUCCACAUCUCAUGAGGUGUUUUGGUAACCUUCUUUGUAGGGACUAGAUUAAGGAUAUGGGCGGCAGUCUCUAAGGCAUACCCCCAAAAAGAGAUUGGUAACGAAACUCGACUCAUCAUAGAGCGAACCAUGUCCAACAAGGUACGAUUACGCCUCUCAGCUACACCAUUCAGCUGUGGUGUCCUGGGAGGAGUCAAUUGUGAGACAAUCCCACACUCCUUAAGAUAGUCAAGGAACUCGGUACUAAGAUACUCACCACCUCGAUCGGAUCGAAGCAUCUUAAUGUUCCUGCCCAAUUGAUUUUCUACUUCCUGUUUGAAUUCCUUAAACCUUUCAAAGGUUUCGGACUUGUGUUUGAUCAAGUAGACAUACCCAUAUCUACUAUAAUCAUCAAUAAAAGUCACAUAAUACCGAUUAGCGUCCCUUGUGGCGGUUUUGAAUGGCCCACAUACAUCAGUAUGUAUUAGGUCCAACAAACCUUCACCCCUCUCACAAGUUCCAGUGAAGGGUGAUUUUGUCAUUUUUCCAAGUAGACAAGAUUCACAACUAUCAUCUGAUUUGAGGUCAAAUGAUUCCAAGACUCCACUCUUUUGGAGUUGGUCUAUGCGUUUCUUGUUUACAUGUCCAAGACGACAAUGCCACAAUGAUGCUUUAUCUAGGCUAGUAGAAGAAUCAAUAUACAACACAUUAUUUCCUAAGUUGUCUACAAUCGACACAGUUUCAUACACGCCAUCACAAGGUAAUGCUUUAAAAUAAAACACAUUAUUAAAGAAAGCAUUAAUACCACCACAUUCAUUAUCAAACGAAAAGGUAAAACCUUGUUUGUACAAAGCAUGAAAAGAAAUAAUAUUCCUCGCCAUUUCAGACGAGUAUACACAUUUAUUCAAAUCUAAUUUUAACCCAUUAUUAAGCAACAAAGUAUAAACUCCAAUCUUGGAAACAGGUGAAGCCUUCCUAUUCCCCAUGAUUAAGUUUAUCUUCCCGUGCUCCACAUCCUCACUUCUUCUUAGGCCCUGCAAAUCAGAACAUAUGUGAAUACCACAUCCUGUAUCAAGCACCCAAGAGUUAGAAUAUGUUGAGUAAUUAGACAAUAUAGUGUAAAUACCUGCAUAGGUGGGUUUCACUUUCCCAUCCUUUAGAUCCUGCAAGUACUUAGGGCAGUUUCGCUUCCAGUGUGCCUUUUCAUGGCAAUAAAAGCAUUCAGCAUCCUUUGGAAUGGCAGAAGGAGUGACAGAACCGUUCUUAGUCUUGGAUGAGGAGCCUUCAAGAGACUUUCCCUUGGUACCCUUCGAAGGGUGCUUCCUCUUUUUCCCUUUGCCUUGCCCAAUAGCUAAAACAGGGGUAGAAGUUGGAGUAGGAGUAGUAGAGGUAACAACCGCUUUACCCUUAAGACCGGUUUCAGCGGUCUUCAAGAGUCCUUGAAGCUUGCUGAGGGUAACUUCCUCCUUGUUCAUAUGAUAUGUCAUUCGAAAAUGAUCAUAACAAGAAGGCAAGGAGUGCAAAAUGAUGUCAAUUGCUAACUCCUCGGGGAUGUUAACAUUCAGCUUCAGCAAACGGUCCACAUACCUUUGCAUCUUUUGCAUGUGGCCCGUGACGGAUUCACCGUCCUUCAUGCGGGUAGUUAUUAUGGAGGAGAUUAUUUCAUACCGCUCCUGACGAGCACUCUGAUGGUACCUUUCCAUCAAGUCUUGGUGCAUCUCAAAAGGGUAGAAAUCUUCAUAUGACUUUUGGAGCUCGGCUGUCAUCGUGGCCAUCAUGAUACAUGCCACCUUAGUAGCAUCUCUCUCAUGAGUCCUGAAUUCAGCGAUCUCCUCAGGAGUAGCAGUAGACUCAUCAAGUUCUUUUAACUCCUUAUCGAGGACAUAUUCCUUGUCCUCGUAACGAGUAACCAUCCUGAUGUUCCUAAUCCAAUCCAUGAAGUUGGAACCAUCAAAGAUGACCCUCCCACAAAGAUUCAUGAGAGAGAAAGAACCAGUUGGGUUAGAGCCUGAAGCAUUAGUGUUGGAAGACAUCUGAAAGAAGAAAGUAAGUUUAGAUUAGAUAUUUAGGAUCCUUAAUAAGACACCCAAAUGUAAUAUUAAGGCUAGGAUCCAAUCACAAUAUAUUACACUUAGAAGAGGGAUGCCGUAAUCUAAGUAAUAAUAUAUUUGAAAGGUAGGCGAAUGACGAUUCACCAAUUUCCACCAUGAAAACGAAAUGAUUAAUUAGGUUUAAUUGGAUUUGAAAUUCCUAGAUUCUUUUGAGAUUCAUUGAACUUUUCAAUGGCAUGUUUCAAUCUCGAUUGUGCCCUUCAAGUUUUGUGACUGGGAUGCCGAGGAUCACAAAACAAGGUGUGAAUAACCAUGCUAACUCACUUGGUACUCCUAAUAUUAUCACCUAAUCAAUGUGCCGGUUAACCACACACGCUCCAUUGAUCUAUGACAACAUUAAGUUACCCUUCGUGAUCCUUACUAGUCUAAUUAGUGUGCCGGUUAACCACACACGCUCCACUAACGACUUGGUAAGGUACAAAGUGUGAAUUCCAUGGAUUAGCACCAUGUUCACAUUUUCCUAAAAUAACUAAGAUUGGGAAUUAAAAGAGUUUAGUUAUUUUAUAAUAUUCAUUAUACUUUUAAUGAGGAUUUAAAGUCGUUGUUCUACCCGUUCGGCUAACGACCCUCCACCGAUCAAGCAAGCGGUGGGUGAGAGUAUACACCCAUUAAGUCGCCAUUUUAUAGGCAACAACCUUAUACCCACCUUAUAGACCGGCUUCGUGAAUGAGGCCUACUAACGGUAAAACGACUUAUUCUUAUACAUAUAUAUAAUAAUUAACCAUUAAUGUUAUAAAUAGUAUAAGGGUUGAAUUUUAACUAUUAAAACUCUAAGGUUUGGAAUUAAAGUUUAUUAAAGUGUGUGAAACUUUACAAAUUCCAAAACUUGAGGACAAGUUUUGUAACUUUGCAAAACUCUUCAUUUCAUAACUUAUGAAUUAAAGGUUCAUAAAAAUGAAGACUCUUCAUUUUCAUGUAACUUAUGUGUUUUAAGUGUGUGUUAAAUGAAAGUGACCUUUGGUAAUCCAUAACUUGAGGACAAAUUAUGGACUCCAUUAAAACACAUAAAUGAUUAAGAAUUAAUUCUAAACAAUUCAGCAAAUAAUUCCUAUCAUUUUCUAAAUUCAUAAGAACAUGAACAUGAUCAUCAAAAAUUCAAGAAUUAUAUGAACACAUAAAAUCAUGGAUUUUUGAUAUAUGCUAUUGUAAAUGGAUUAGAACAACCAUUACACCAACUAAAAUAAGUUUUACAACACCAAAACAAUUUAGGGUAAUGUUUCCAGUCCAUUUCCAGCAGCAAAAGUCGAGAUUCUGCAUUCUUUCGAUCCUACUCGCCGAGUGCACGAACGGACUCGUCGAGUAGGUUGAAGUUUGCCUUGGACUCGGCGAGUCCCCCCAAUGGACUCGGCGAGUCUAGCAUGCAGACAGCAACGAUUUCAACUUUUUUCACUAUUUUGCAUCAAGUAUCAAACAAGCAAGCCUAGGCUCUGAUACCACUGUUGGGUUUUGAGCAAUCUAACACUUCCUAAGUGUGCAUGCAACCCUAAUAAACCUUGGAUCUAUGUUUUCUUCUAAAAUACAUGCAAAUAAUAAUUUCCAAGGUUUCUUCCUAACUAGCAUAGCAUAAGGAUUAUGAAUCAUAAAAGUACUAGUAGAAAUACAUACCUUUUGAUGAUGGUUGAUUGUUUGGAGUUUGAGAGACAAGCACCAAUAGUGUGAAUGCCUCAAAUGGAAUCACAAAUCACCACAAACACUUGGAAAACUUUGAGAGAGUAUUAUACUUUCUUAUGAAAUCGCCCACUACUAAGUCUCACACAACUAGUGCCACUAGUGGCUAUUUCAUGCAACAUAAGCAUGCUUAUAUAGUGUACAUGAUUAGGGUGAAACCCUAAUAACCCAUGACCUUUCCUUUUCCAAGGAUCCAUGGGUUAAAAGCUCCAUGGACUUCCAUACAAGCCUAGCCCAUUAACAAAUGAGUGUUAGC